UGGGGAAUAUUGCACAAUGGAGGGAACUCUGAUGCAGCGACGCCGCGUGAACGAAGAAGGCUUUCGAGUCGUAAAGUUCUUUUAUAUGGGAAGAUAAUGACGGUACCAUAAGAAAAAGCCCCGGCUAACUACGUGCCAGCAGCCGCGGUAAUACGUAGGGGGCUAGCGUUGUCCGGAAUCACUGGGCGUAAAGGGUUCGCAGGCGGAAAUGCAAGUCAGGUGUAAAAGGCAGUAGCUUAACUACUGUAAGCAUUUGAAACUGCAUAUCUUGAGAAGAGUGGAGGUAAGUGGAAUUUUUAGUGUAGCGGUGAAAUGCGUAGAUAUUAAAAAGAAUACCGGUGGCGAAGGCGACUUACUGGGCUCAUUCUGACGCUGAGGAACGAAAGCGUGGGUAGCAAACAGG
Molecule: ribosomal RNA, 403 nt
Filed under: Verrucomicrobiota bacterium
Lineage: Bacteria; Pseudomonadati; Verrucomicrobiota
Also listed under: 1 other name
Description: Verrucomicrobia bacterium partial 16S ribosomal RNA
Rfam family: Bacterial small subunit ribosomal RNA
Source: RNAcentral